Molecule: long non-coding RNA, 1363 nt
Filed under: Lactuca sativa (garden lettuce)
Lineage: Eukaryota; Viridiplantae; Streptophyta; Magnoliopsida; Asterales; Asteraceae
Description: long non-coding RNA (LSAT_LNC003728)
Source: RNAcentral
CAAGUUGCGUCUGGGGAACUCCAUGAGGUGUCAGAAGACUUUCCACGUCGUGGUAUCUAACAGUUUUGGGGUUUCGCGCCCCGAACUUUAGAAAUUCAUAACUUUCACAUACGAGCUCCGUUUUCGACGUUCUUUAUAUCGACGCGUAGGUAAAAACAAGAUCUACAACUUUCAUUUAGACUCCGUAGGCUAAUUUUGAAUUUAUUUUUAUUAUGUUAGUUUGAUAUUAUUUUUAGUAGGCUGGGACAGGAAAACUCCGUUAUAAACUCAUAACUCCUUCAUCUGACGUCCGUUUUCGUCUAUCUUUCCGUCGUUGCAAUAUUAUCAAUGAGAUAUUCAAUUCUCAUUUAGAUUGUUUUGGCUAAGUAUCGCUCUAACGUAAAUUCACUAUUUACGUCGCGCUGUGUAUAUUAUCAAUGAGAUAUUCAAUUCUCAUUUAGAUUGUUUUGGCUAAGUAUCGGUCUAACGUAAAUUCACUAUUUACGUCGCGCUGUGUCGUGUCGGUUCUUUCGCGAAACUUCGAUAGGUCAUAACUUCUUCGUUAUAACUCGAAUUUCGGCGUUCUUUAUAUGUACGGAAUCCUUGUAACAUAUACUAUAACUUAGUUAAGAUUAAUACUUCUAAAUAACCUUCCAUCAAAAAGUCAUUUUUGAUGCUUAUCGUCUCUAAACUGACUGGCCCGGAUCUACGGGCGUUACACAUGAAUGGUUCCAAAAAUGGCUCCUUAAAGCCCUAAACUACCCAUGAAGAGAACUAGUAAUUGAAUGGACAAGGUAUAGACUUUAUAUCUCAGUAAGGCUACUUUGACAACAAAGUCUUUAGAUCCAAGGCUCCUUCCUUCAACCAAGCACUUCAAGCUUCCACUCCUUCAAGAAAAUGCUAAAGAAUCACUCUUUUUUCACUCACACACACUCAAAAGGCUCUAGAGCACCAGUUAGCGUUAUCUAGACUGAGGGAGGUGAUGAGGGAGGCCACAAUGGGGUGUUAAUGUCCUUAAAUAGGGUGAAAACCCUGGGAAUUAGGGUUUCACUCUGGCAUCUCUACUCGUCGAGUUGAGGCUCUCAACUCUUCGAGUAGACUUGGAGCCCCGCGUACAAAAAUCCAAUUCCAACUCGACUAGUUUGGCGCCUCUAACUCGUCGAGUCCCUUUGAAAAAACGAAUAAUUCUUUUUUAAAAUACGGAUCAGGAUUCGGGCGUUACAAUUACAUCAUUCAACUUCGUAUCUUUUCACCUAGGAUUUUCUUCUAUACAUCAUAAUUAGCCUAAUAAUCAAAAUUAGAUGUUUAAAAGUAUUGAUUCUUACCUUAUAUCAUCAAUUUAGCACUCUACUCUGAAUAGCUCCUCAAAGAUCAAACUUCUAAG